Molecule: ribosomal RNA, 497 nt
Filed under: uncultured bacterium
Lineage: Bacteria
Description: partial 16S ribosomal RNA
Rfam family: Bacterial small subunit ribosomal RNA
Source: RNAcentral
GAUGAACGCUGGCGGCGUGCCUAAUACAUGCAAGUCGAGCGAACGGACGAGAAGCUUGCUUCUCUGAUGUUAGCGGCGGACGGGUGAGUAACACGUGGAUAACCUACCUAUAAGACUGGGAUAACUUCGGGAAACCGGAGCUAAUACCGGAUAAUAUUUUGAACCGCAUGGUUCAAAAGUGAAAGACGGUCUUGCUGUCACUUAUAGAUGGAUCCGCGCUGCAUUGGCUAGUUGGUAAGGUAACGGCUUACCAAGGCAACGAUGCAUAGCCGACCUGAGAGGGUGAUCGGCCACACUGGAGCUGAGACACGGUCCAGACUCCUACGGGAGGCAGCAGUAGGGAAUCUUCCGCAAUGGGCGAAAGCCUGACGGAGCAACGCCGCGUGAGUGAUGAAGGUCUUCGGAUCGUAAAACUCUGUUAUUAGGGAAGAACAUAUGUGUAAGUAACUGUGCACAUCUUGACGGUACCUAAUCAGAAAGCCACGGCUAACUACGUG